Molecule: transfer RNA, 93 nt
Filed under: Yersinia mollaretii ATCC 43969
Lineage: Bacteria; Pseudomonadati; Pseudomonadota; Gammaproteobacteria; Enterobacterales; Yersiniaceae
Also listed under: 2 other names
Description: tRNA-Ser
Source: RNAcentral
UGGCGGUGAGGGAGGGAUUCGAACCCUCGAUACAGCUUUUGACCGUAUACUCCCUUAGCAGGGGAGCGCCUUCAGCCUCUCGGCCACCUCACC